Molecule: long non-coding RNA, 5016 nt
Organism: Ctenopharyngodon idella (grass carp)
Lineage: Eukaryota; Metazoa; Chordata; Actinopteri; Cypriniformes; Xenocyprididae
Exons: 2
Source: RefSeq, a predicted model, not a curated record
AAAUGUAGAGCAGAAAUAAACUAGCCAAAACACUAAAGCGCUAGAGAGAGCUCCAGCAGUAAUGCACAUCUUCACAGAAUUCACUGAGAAUGCACAUGCUAGAGAUGGGAGGGAGGAGGGGGUGAAAGUGCUGCAGUUUUUUUCUGCCCGUUUUUAGAGCAGCAGCGACAGCUCCUCGUGUCAGCAUGAUGUCUAUCCCUGCCUAAAUGUAAGCCGUGAGUAUGCUUUCUUCACCCGGCUCCACCCCUCCCGCUUUACCACUCUUGUUUCUUCUCUACAACACACGUUCAGUAUCCCCCCCACCCCCCCGUCAGAGAAGCUGAAUCAGCGAGUCAGGCAUGCGAUGGCUGCAGCAGCUGGAGAACUCCGGAGGUCAUUAUGGCUCUUCACACACAGAAGAGAAGAAAGAGGGAGGAGCAGAAAGCAGAGGAAACUGAGCUGACAGGUAAUAUAUGCUCCCUGUGCCUUCCUCCCUCCGGACAGGAGUUCGCCCCCCAUGCCGGCUGGUCCGCACUGACGUCUCUGUUUUUUCUUCUCCGUUUCGGAUGCACUGGGGUUUAAGCGCGUGGCCGGUCAGCCACGGUGUGUGGCGUGGUCUGUGAGAGGGAGUGGAAUUUACAGCUCUGCAGCAGCAUGAGGAAAAAUUACUUCUCUGGGAACACCACCUAUAGCAGGAUAUUGCUGGUCAGGGCAGCAGGCUGCUGCAGCACAGCACUCUCCGGUUCAUUACCUCGUGGCUGCAGCACCGAAGACAUCUAAAAGAUGGACUCAGUAACUUAAACUCACUGCUCUUGAAACAUGCAGCUUUUAUCUUGGAUCUUUUUACUCAGAGGCACUUUUGUAUGGAAUACCACUCUAACGGGAUGGUUACACACUUUAUCAACACUCAUUUUUCCACUGGUCAGCUCAAAUUACUGGAACCAUGUUUGGUGAUUCAAGACUGUUUCUGUAACAACAGGGGGACAGGUGUACGCUAGCCAUGAAGGGACACUGGUGUCACAGUAGGACGCGAGUUUCAGGCCAGGUGGGGGUGAAUCGGACUGAUGGAAAAACAGAUGUGAUGGCAUAUUAAUUCUCCGGGGAGGGCUGCUGAUAUGUGUGUCAGUGAGUGAACCCACAACACCCAGGGUAGUAACCCAGUUUCUCUCUGCAUGCUUACCAAUCAUUAGGCAGGGGCAGGGCUGUAGUGCUGCAGUGCCAUCUCCCCCUCUCAACACACUCAUCCCUAAAUCUUUACUAACACUGUGGCGCCACAAGAGUCCAGCCAUACCCCUCCAUCAUAUCUAACCCCAUCAAGCACCACAAACUCACCCAGGAUUUCCACCCCUGCUCAGAAUAGCCCGUCUAAGUGUUCUGUUAUAUUUCCACCCAUGCGCCUCUCCUUUUGGCCUGGUAUUGGAUAGGCUCCUGAGAGGAGGGGGAUGAGACAGGGCGGUGUUGACUUGUGGAAUGUGUGGAGCUGGAGCAAAGAUUCAUUAGAGAGCUACUGAACAUUUCAUGCUGCCAUGCAAACAGUUAUUGAUCUCUAGCACGUAGCAUUAGAGCUCUAGAGAAGCUUCUAGAAUAAACAGACCCGGGUCAACUCAGGAAAAAAAGGGAAUUGGGGGGGGGGGGUUUGCAGGAAAAAAAGAAGAGGUUAAAAAGAGAAGAAAAAUGAAAAAGGAAAGGAGAAUCAGCACACUAGUUCCAAAUCACUAUUGCUGAGUGGGCAUUAGCUCUUGCAUGUGACCUCUGGCCUGGUCUGUGUGGCUAAAGCCCAAAUCCUGCUCACAAUAGCUUCCUGUUCCACUUGGAUCAACCUCAUUUUUGGACCUCAGCAACCAGUCUGACAUACAACUGAGAAUGUGGUUAAAGAACAGACAACCGGAUGGAAAACGGGCAGAAAGGGGAUACAUACUCUGUUCAGGACACUGUUACAUUAGAAAUGCGCCUUUUUUAAGGUGUCCUUUGAACUUUCAUGGACAACAAAAAAAUCCAGGCUACAAGGAUGGAAGAGGACACUUUCCCUUAUUUUUCAACAACAUAUUUUUACCAAUUACAGAAAAAGACUAAACUUUUUACCUAUGGCACUGUUCUUUGUCAACUUCCCUACGGAUACCUCAUGCUUUCAGAGGACAGACAAGGUCAACAGAAGACAAUACUGUGUGAACCCCAAUAUGUGUAAUGCAUACUGGUGUAACAGUGUUGGGAUGGGGCAAAAGAAAGCAUGACUUAAAGAAACUCUGAAAGUGACCUUAUGUAUAAUGUUAAUCCACUGCAUUCUGCAGAAUGGUUAAAAAAUGGCCAGUGAUCUACCGACGGUGAUUAAACAUGCGUUUGGUUUAUAUAAGGGCUGCGCUAACCAAACAUCAAAUCAGAGAAGGUAAGGAAACUCAGCUGUGUCUGGGGCUGCCUACUUGGUGUACAUACUUCUUUAUGUGCCCAUAUGAACAUAUAACAGCUAUGGAAUGUAAAGAAGUAUGUAUUCUUGGUAAGGCACUGAUCCUCAGUUUAAAAACUUUGCCAUGAUUCUCUGCAUCACUGAAUUUUGGUACAUGGAGACAGUGUGACGAAUUCUGAAACUGGGGUGCAGAAACUUACUGCAGCAGUGGAUUCUGAGAGAAGUUGCUGCUCUUUCAGUGACUUCACCAGCAAUCCACACCACCCCUCCCUAAUUCAGCAACUGACAUGCUAGAUAGUUCAAUCUGGCAUGCUAUAGUUCAUUGUUGCAGGUAGACUAACAUUAAAAUUUAAGUUUGUAGGGCCCACUUUCUUGGUGACAGAACAAGUUCAGUCACUGCAACCUAAAAGAUGCAAUAACGGCCUGAGACAUCGGCAUAGGAACAGGAGCUCCUUUCAUUAUUGUAGUUUGCUGCAUUCUAGGCUUCGAAUUGUGGCCAGCUGCAACUAAGAUCCUGUUCCUGCAGGAGCGGCAUACGCCAGAACCAUUAAUACCUUAAUCUUUUCAAACUUGUCUAGAAAGGGUAAAUUUAGGACAACUUCACUUUUUUUGACCAUUUGAAUCUUGAAAAUUGAACCUUGCUACAAGGAAGCUGCUGAGGUAACAGUUCCAUAAAGGUGAGCAGCGCUUGGCUAUUAAAAGGAAGCUUCUCUCACAUUGCGGGAUAGUACGGUGGUCUGUUUCACCCUGUCACCCGUUCCUGCCCCCAUUGUUCAUGUUUGCUAUGCUUGCCAAAUGCUUUGCUGGACCACAGGGUAGUCAGAUUAGAGCAUGGAAAAGUGACAAUGCAGGAUCAGAGGGGUCUGCCUGUCAGCUGAUUCCAUUUGUCCUUUACAAAAUGUAAACGGAGGCCUUCAGAAGAGAACAUCUAAGCAUGUUCUCUUUCAUUUUUUGUCUAUUUGUGUGCAGCAGGUUACAAUAACAAUCACUGAACAGAGUAGAACGAAUGUACUAGUAGAACAAAUGUAUUACACAAUGCUGAACUUUUAAGCUGAUCAACAGGUGAUGAAAACAGUUGUGCGAGGGGAUAAGGUAAUCAAGGACAGUUGUACCUAAGGGUUUGAAUGCUUCAAACCUACUCCAAGCCUUUGGCAGUGCACCAGGUCAUCUAUCUGUUGAGGUAAUAUUUGAUUUGCGGUGAUGACUAAAGUUAGAGCGCACCUGCAAUUUCUUGCAUAAUGUCCGAUAAAAGCUUCUGUUUUAAACCUCUCACUCAUUCACGUUACAGGCCAAGAAAAAAUGUAAUGGAUGCAUUGUGUGAAAAGAUACAGUAAGGGUUUUUGGUCAUGACUGGAGCCUGGGAGAGCUUAUGGCCCAUUUUUCUGAAUGUCAGACACUCCCGUCUGUCCUCUGUAGGGCUGUGCUCUUUCCAUUUUUGUGCACCGCUUGCUGUAUGGUUCGCUCCUGUCAGUCGUAUGGCUGUGUUCCCUCUUUCUCGCCCUCAACCCCAGCCUGAGUGACACCCACAGCAGAUGCUGACAUUAUCAAAUGUUCAGCUGCUAUCCCUGGCUUUUGCCCUCUUAUGGCCAGUGUAUUUGGGGGCCGAACUUUGUCCAGAAUGCCGCAAGCAAGUGUCUGUGUAACGCAGGGAGGGGGAUCUGUGGAGUAAAUAGCACUUUACUGACCCCUGUUUAAUGAGCGCCAUAUUGAGCAGCAAUGACCCCUUGCUUACACUCUCAGCUGGCCACCUGCUAAGGAGCUAAAGAGGCUUUUUGGCCGCCUCAAAGCUGAUGGACAGUCAACUGCGUCUUACAAAACAACGCUUUGGCUUGAGCUCACUGUGUGUCACCGAAUUGUCUUCUGGAGUUCAUUCUGCCUUGAAUUGUGACUGACAUGUAGUACAAAUAUCUGUAUUAGUCACUUCCACCACACUCCUUUAUUAGAUUAAGUAGGCAAAUUAGCCCUGCAAUGUAGCCAAGUAUGACUGAAUCUUUUCAAAUUUAAGAAAGUGACAACUACAAAAAGCAGCACAAGCUGACAUCUUGAUCGCCCAAGCGACACUCUGCCCUCGGCAGGCUUAAUCCAUCAGCAGCUGUUAUUGCUACAAGUCUCGCGGACACUCGAUUUGAGUGCACCAUGAUAGAUUAUUAUCUUUUUCACUGAGCACAUUUCUCUCUUUUUUUUUUUUUUUUAACGAGAAAGAAAACCUCUGGAGUGCAGUGAAAUGUAUUAUUUGAUAGGUGUAGAGAAACAGUCUGAAAUGAGUCCAUGCGACAUUGCUUGUCGCGUUUCGCAAAGUUUAACUGUUUAAGGUCAUAAAACAGAGUCACAUAAGCUGAUCCUUAUCAGUCUCAUUAAUAUCAAACCACAAUGCUUUGCUAAAGCUGGUAAAAUGGAACCAAAUCACCUCUUCAAUGGAUUUGGUCCCCUUCAACCAGCUGUAGCUAUGCUUUGAUGACAACAUGAAUUGUUUCUAUCUUGCCUUUUUUGCUUCCGCAGGAAACUGAGACAAUAUAUUUCAUUAAUUUCAGUGUGACAAAGCUGAUUUUAAUAAACGUUAAUACAAUGUAUUGUGACUGCCUUUUCUACAAACUGAUUUUUUUUUUUUUUAAAGAAAUAAAAUUUUACAAGCAUGG